ACGGCGAGUGAAGCGGGAAGAGCUCAAGCUUAAAAUCUCCGUGCAAGUUUUGUGCGGCGAAUUGUAGUCUAUAGAGGCGUGGUCAGCGUGGGCGCUUGGGGCAAGUUCCUUGGAAGAGGACAGCAUGGAGGGUGAUACUCCCGUUCAUCCCUGAGUGGCUCGUGCGUACGACCCGUUUUCUUUGAGUCGCGUUGUUUGGGAAUGCAGCGCAAAGUAGGUGGUAAAUUCCAUCUAAAGCUAAAUAUUGGUGCGAGACCGAUAGCGAACAAGUACCGUGAGGGAAAGAUGAAAAGAACUUUGAAAAGAGAGUUAAAGAGUACCUGAAACUGCUGAAAGGGAACCGAAUCGUUUCCAGUGUCUAUAAUCUGUGGCAUAUUUCAUUGGCGAGCGUUUGCGUGCGUGUGCUGUGGCAGUGGCUUUUUUGGCUGCGCCUGGUGUGUGUGGUGUGAGUGUUUGCUGGUGCCCUGUGCUGCGGUGGGACGUCAAGGUCAGUUCGUAUGCUGCGGGAAAUGGCUGCCGAGGAGGUAGGGCUUACGCUCCGCGUUUGUCUGUUAUAUCUUGGUGGACGAGUCGUCGCGGUUGGGACUGAGGUGCCUACAACGUGCUUUUGAGUGGGUUUGUGUCUCCGUGUGCGCCGUGUGCGGAUAGCUUGCUAUGCGUGUGUGGUUGUGUGUGGAUUGAUGCGGGCCUUAACUUUGUCGCCGUUCGGGACGUUGACGAA
This 721-nucleotide ribosomal RNA is filed under the name Phytophthora colocasiae. RNAcentral describes it as "eukaryotic LSU rRNA". It matches the Rfam family "Eukaryotic large subunit ribosomal RNA", at positions 86 to 633 of the family's 3401-position model. The record is from RNAcentral. Lineage: Eukaryota; Oomycota; Peronosporomycetes; Peronosporales; Peronosporaceae.